AAUAGUAAUAGUUUAAAAUAAAACGUGAAGUUGCAAACUUUAAUAUCACUAUGUUACUAUUG
RNAcentral lists this transfer RNA (62 nucleotides) under Dolicheulota formosensis. RNAcentral's name for it is "tRNA-Cys". The record is from RNAcentral. Lineage: Eukaryota; Metazoa; Mollusca; Gastropoda; Stylommatophora; Camaenidae.